CUGAAGCGGAACCAGUUCAAAUGAGAAGUCACUGCGGAAGGCGUGGUAUUGUUGGGACGUGAGCCCGAAUUUACGAUUCUGUUACUACUGCCUUUAAUAGCUACUCUGUUAGGGCGCUUCUCCGUCCUUAUCUGUAGACCUCGUUACAGUUGCUGGCUUUGAUUUGAAAUCUCCGUUUUACAAACGAGGCCUCUGAGACUUAGGCUGCGAUCCAGCUGUCUCCAGCCAAUUCUUCCCUGGAGGAGGAAUUAAGGGUUGGGAGAGAAGGCUGUAUCCUGAAUGAGAGAAGAAAUCCGUGCUUCAUUCCCGGGCCUGGGUAGCCUCCCCGGGGGAGGAGCCAGAAGUUGUGUGGUGCCAGAUCCGGUGAAGAAGGCAAAUGAGGACAUAUCACUAUCAUGUUUUCAGGAGCCUGACUUUCCAUUUAAUACAACUCAACAGCAGCACUCUCGGUAUUUUUCCUUGUAUCUCAUAAAGUCACAAAAGUCGAAUUUCAGAACUGCUUCAGAAAGUGGCAAGAGCCAGGUAUAUUGCUGCACACCUGUAAUCCCAGCCCUCAGGAGGCUGAUGAAGGGAGGAUUGCUGAGAGUUGAGGCCAGCCUGGACUGUAAAAUGAGUUCAAGGCCAGCCUGAACUACAUAGCAAGAACUUGUCUCAAACAACAACAACAACAACAACAACACACCCGAAGUCAGAAGCA
Molecule: long non-coding RNA, 697 nt
Filed under: Fukomys damarensis (Damara mole-rat)
Lineage: Eukaryota; Metazoa; Chordata; Mammalia; Rodentia; Bathyergidae
Description: lncRNA (ENSFDAG00000027625.1)
Source: RNAcentral